ACUAUUUUGACAGAUAAGUGUAAUAGAUUUAGAAUCUAUAAAUGUAGUUUAUAUUACAAAUAGUA
RNAcentral lists this transfer RNA (65 nucleotides) under Geoscapheus dilatatus. RNAcentral's name for it is "tRNA-Leu". It matches the Rfam family "tRNA". From Rfam's summary of the family: Transfer RNA (tRNA) molecules are approximately 80 nucleotides in length. The record is from RNAcentral. Lineage: Eukaryota; Metazoa; Arthropoda; Insecta; Blattodea; Blaberidae.